UACGAAGGGGGCUAGCGUUGCUCGGAAUCACUGGGCGUAAAGCGCACGUAGGCGGAUUGCUAAGUCAGGGGUGAAAUCCUGGAGCUCAACUCCAGAACUGCCUUUGAUACUGGCGAUCUUGAGUCCGGGAGAGGUGAGUGGAACUGCGAGUGUAGAGGUGAAAUUCGUAGAUAUUCGCAAGAACACCAGUGGCGAAGGCGGCUCACUGGCUCGACACUGACGCUGAGGUGCGAAAGCGUGGGGAGCAAACAGG
This 253-nucleotide ribosomal RNA is filed under the name uncultured bacterium. Its description in RNAcentral is "partial 16S ribosomal RNA". It matches the Rfam family "Bacterial small subunit ribosomal RNA", at positions 524 to 776 of the family's 1533-position model. The record is from RNAcentral.